RNAcentral lists this long non-coding RNA (21798 nucleotides) under Homo sapiens (human). RNAcentral's name for it is "non-protein coding TRPM2-AS:7". Lineage: Eukaryota; Metazoa; Chordata; Mammalia; Primates; Hominidae. The record is from RNAcentral.
CUCUGUGGUCCUUCCGCCAAAACAUCUGGGCUCCUCCACCUCCCCGAGCCCAAAUGGCCAUGCAGGUCGAACACCAGCUCUGAAGUGGGCAGGGCCCCCAGGGAGGACAGCCACGGGAGCUCAGGCAGCGUCCCCGCCGGCACCUGCCUCUUUGUGCAGCGGCAGUCAGGGCCCUCGGCAAUGAGCUGAACUCGCAGUGCGGUUACGAGGGCAAAUAUGCUCCUUGAGGGCCGGCGAAACUCAGCAGCCCGAGGAAGGCUACUGAUGUGCAUUUCAUAGCCGGCUGCGAAUUUAGGAAAACAGACUUUGCUUCUCGUCACUCAGCCUACGUGACCAGGUUCAGACACAGUCUGCAGCCGCCCGCCUCGCACCCCCACUCUGCAGUGCGGUAUGUGGGGAGCUCAGGGCACAGCAGGCCAGGCCUCCCCGUGGACGUCCAGGAACCAGAACCAAACUGCCCAGGGCCCCAGAGGGGAAGAUGUCUCAGCAGACGGACAGCCGAGGCUCACAUGGCAAGCUCUGGCAGCCUGUCGGUCCCAGGAGAGAGGGGGAGGUGAGUGAACUGAGGGAGGGCCAGGUGACAGGUCACAAACAAUGAAACUUCCUCUGGGCACAGCAGAGGUUGGUUUUGUUUUGGGGGUGAUGUGGCGCGGCACUGUUGCUUGGGGAAUAUUUGGUUUUUGUCUUAUUUUGUGGGGGUCGUGGAGCAGUGCUGCUGUUCUAAGGAUGUUUGGUGUCUGUCGUAUUUUGUGGGGGUUGUGGAGCAGUGCUGUUUUUCUGGGAGUUAUUUGGCUUCUGUCUUAUUUUGUGGGGUUGUAGAGCGGCGCUAUUAUUCUGGAAAUGUUUGGUUUCUGUCUUAUUUUGUGGGGGUCGUGGAGCAGUGCUGCUGUUCUAAGGAUGUUUGGUGUCUGUCGUAUUUUGUGGGGGUUGUGGAGCAGCGCUGUUUUUCUGGGAGUAUUUGGCUUCUGUCUUAUUUUGUGGGGUUGUAGAGCGGCGCUAUUAUUCUGGAAAUGUUUGGUUUCUGUCUUAUUUUGUGGGGGUCGUGGAGCAGUGCUGCUGUUCUAAGGAUGUUUGGUGUCUGUCGUAUUUUGUGGGGGUUGUGGAGCAGCGCUGUUUUUCUGGGAGUAUUUGGCUUCUGUCUUAUUUUGUGGGGUUGUAGAGCGGCGCUAUUAUUCUGGAAAUGUUUGGUUUCUGUCUUAUUUUGCUUCGCCCAGCCUCGGCCUGCUGUGUUUAUGGUUAAAAUAACUCUGUGGGCAAACCCGAGUCUCCAGCUCUCAUCCGCUGUCCCCUGGGCUCCCUCACUUCCUUUCAUCCACAGCGCCCACUGCAAGUGAUAUUCUUAUAAUACACUGAGCAACUAUUUUAGUAACACAGAAACUUUCUGGGGAUAUGACCCACUUUAAACAGUUAUCUAGGGAGAGGGAAGAAAGUGAUUUCGCUCCAGGCCUGGGCAUCUCCUUUCACCCACAUUUCAUUUUGCUUAAUCCCACAAAAGCCGCUUAACCGCACCUGCCAUGUUUUCCCAGACAGCCUUGCAAACAUGCGAGGGUGGUUACUGGAGCCUUCUCGGACCCGCGUGAUUCCACCACCGUGAGAUGCAGGAACUGUCUAGAUUUGCAGACAGAGCUUGUCCUUGACCCCCAAAGCUCCAGCCCUGCCCUGUGGGCGAGGAGCUUUGGUGAACUCAGCUCACCUCAGUGCUGCAAGGUUAUGGCACCCCACACUCAUGCGCCUCCCAGGUGCCCAGCUUCUUCACUGGAGGAGGGGACGGUGACCAGGCUAGGGCCCUUGGUACGGGCUGAGGAGCUCUUUCCUCACUUUCCCUGGAGCCCGUGUUCUGCAAGAUCAGGUCGACUGAAGCACAUCAGCUUCUGUCCCAGGCCCCUCUGCGGAUGAGCAAGAGCUGCUGACCAAUGGGAGUGACAGCUCAGCACACCAGCCAGCGGCCCAGCGGAAACACGUUCUGCAGGCUCAUCUUGGGAAAACUUCUACUCACAUACAAAUAUGCAUUAGAGUCAGGGUCUCACCCUGUCACCCAGGCUGCAGUGCAGUGGCACCAUCAUGGCGCACUGCAGCCUCGAACCCCUGGCCUCAGCCUCCUGAGCAGCUGGGACUCUGACCCCAUGUGCACCACCACACCUGGCUACUCUUUCCUUUUUUGUUGUUGUUUUUUUAUUUUUUGUAGAGAUGGGGUCUCACUAUGUUACCCAGGCUGGUCUCAAACUUUUGGCCUCAAGAAAUCCUCCUGCUGUGGCCUCCUUAGUAGCUGGGAUCACAGGCAUGAGCCACCGUGCCUGGCUAAUUGUUAUUUUUAUUUUUUGUAGAGAUGGGGGUCUCACUAUGUUGCCUAGGUUGGUCUUGAACUCCUGGGCUCGAGCAAUCCUCCCACCUCAGCCUCCCAAAAUGUUGGGAUUACAAGCAUGAGCCACUGUGCCUGGCCUGCAAAGUUAUAUUUUAGUUAAGCUUUUUCAACCUCAGAAAAUAACUGGAGGCGCCCAACUUCCACUGAGCACCUAGGCUGGGAAAUAGGCAGCAGACCAGCUCUGAGCUUUAAGAUGUCUGGGAUAGGGCAGGAGCUGAGAGGCAUUUGGGACUAAAUUUUUUUUUUUUUUAGGUGGAGUCUUGCUCUGUCGCCCAGGCUGGAGUGCAGCAGCGCGAUCUCAGCUCACUGCAACCUCCGCCUCCUGGGUUCAAGCGAUUCUCCUGCCUCAGCCUCCCAAGUAGCUGGGAUUACAAGCGCACGCCACCACACCCGGCUAAUUUUUGUAUUUUUAGUAGAGAUGAGGUUUCACCAUGUUAGCCAGGAUAGUCUUGAUCUCCUAACCUUGUGAUCCACCCACCUUGGCCUCCCAAAGUGCUGAGAUUACAGGCGUGAGCCACCGCGCCCGGCCUGGGACUGAUUCAUUUGGGGUCCAGCCCACUCCCUUAAGGCAGGAGGCUGCAAAGUUGCUGGGGCCUGCAUUCCAGGCCACACCGCUGGCCAGUGGUGGAAGCUGAGCCACCUCUCUCACUUUCCUGGGCCUCCACUUCCUCAUGGGUAAAAGUGGAAGGAAAAAUACCUCCCUCUGCAAAAGGGUUGAGCGAGAUGAUGCAGGUGAAGGGUGUGGUCCUCAAUGAGCCCUUAACACAUGCCAGCCAUCAUAUUCCAGCCCUGACUAUGUUGGUCAUCAGCAGAGCUGUGGCCUUCCAGCUUCAUCCUGACAUGCGGAGGCCGCCUUUCAGAAACUCUCCCAAGCACCUUCCCCCAGCAUCUGGGCCCUGGGCAUGGCCACUGCUCAAAGUCCCAGACGAGGCCAUCCAUCAAAGCUGUACUUGGCAACAGCAAGUAAGAGAAGGUUGUCAGGGCACUGCAUGGCCCCAGGCCCCCCUCCUCUGUAAGUGGACCAUCAGAGCCAAACGUCAGGGCUGAGCAGGCCUGGAGACCAGCGACCCCAGCCUCCUGCAACCCUGCCAGGCCAGGAACUAACAGCAGUUCCAGAAUUGCAUAGGAUUUCCUCAGUGCCUUCUAGGCACUGGGCCUGCUCUACAUCCCAGGAUACUAUGGGGAACAUGUGGGACUCUGUCCCUACUCUCACAUGGAGCCUGGCAGUUAGACAUGACACAACCCACAAACCCACCAGCCAACCAACCAACAUCCAGAUUCCAGAACGACAGGGGAUGGGGACAGGGUGGGUGGAGGGCAGGAAAGGCCCUCCAAUGAAGUGAGGCUUGAAUAGAGAGAGACAGCAAGUCCUGACUCUCUCUGGGAGAAGACUGUUCUAGGCAAAGAGCAUGCCAAGGGCUCAACUGGAAGUCAUCAUGCCCAGACUCAAGCAAACAGGACACGUGUAUCUAGUUCACUCAGAAUGGGAGCUAGAAGGGGCUUUGACAUCAGCUAGUUCAUUAAGGUCCUCACAUUGUCACCAUCGUCAUUACUAUUGCCAUCAUAAUCACCAUCAUCACUAUCAUCACCACCACCACAUCCACCAUCGUCACCACCACCAGCACCAGCACCACCACUACCAUCACUACCACCACUGUCACCAUCACCAUUACCAUCCACCACCACCACCAUCACCGCUACCACCAUUACCACCAUCAGAAGCACCAUCACCACCAUCACCACCACCACCACUGCCAACAUCACCAUCAACAUCACCACCACUACCAUCACCACCACCACCACCACCACUGCCAUCAUCACCAUCAACAUCACCACCACUACCAUCACCACCACCAUCACCACCACUUCCAUUACAGCCAUCAGAAUCACCAUCAUCAUCACCAUCACUACCACCAUCACCAACACCACCACCAUCACAAUCACCACCACAUCACCAUCAUCACCAACAUCACCACUACCACCACUACCAUCACCACCACCACCAUCACCAUCGCAGCCACCAUCAUCACCAUCACCACCACCGCCCCCACUACUCAUAAGUAAGGGUGAUGAUAAAAGCACCAGCCACGUUAGCAGAUCCCUGGUUAUAGUUCCAGCAUAUGUGCUCAAUUCUUUACAGUCAGGACCCCACUGUAUUCUGGAAACAACUCCAAGAGACAGGGACUAUCGUGUCUCCAUCUUACAGACAAGGUGAGGGAGGUAUGGAAAGGCAGGAGUACAUACAUGUCUCUAAGGGGGAGGGCACUUGGCCUGGUCUUGGCCAUCCCUUGCCAGCUCCAGGAUGCUCCUGUUUGUGGCUGCAGGAGCCUCCACACGGCCAUAACUAGGUGGCACCGUGUCCAUUUCCCCCUCCUCCUCUCAUGCCAUGGUGAGACGCACACUGAGAGCAGGACACUGGGGGCAGCCCUUCCUGCUGCCCGCUGCUGGGCCAUUAGGCCCUGCUGACACCUAGCAGGGCGGAAGGCCUGGCAGUGGAGAGAAGGGAGCAGAUGUUCCCCCAACACUGACCUCGCACCUUGGAAAGAAGCAAGAUGGGAGGAGCUGAGAGGGAGGACGGUGCUGAGCAUGGCUGACCCCGAGGGCUGGGCUGCCGAGGUCCUGCAGAAGCUAUAAUAAGGCUGUGCACCAACAAGCUCACAGAGCAAACCACCCCCAAACCAGCCUGGACCCCGUGUGCACAUGCCCCCAGGCCUCCAAGCCGGAUCCUGCGGGCCAACCUGCCCCUCCCCCAGCCGCCAAGGCUUCCCUCCCAGCCUCUGACCCUGCGCCCUGUGGGGCCCAGCCUUCCUAAGGACCGCAGAGGGUCCUGGGUCAGCUGUGGGCACAGGCCCGGAUGCCUGCAGCAUUGCAGGGGCCACGGGAUACAGCGCUCCCUCACCGGUGAGGCAUUGCUGGGCCUCCCCAGGUGGGACAUGUACUCAUGGUGCCUGUGGACCUGCAGGAGGUCCCCCAGAGGCUUCCCGCCCCCAGGCCCACCGGAGCCCCCAUACUUAUUGCUGAUGUCCUCGAUCUUCUGCUCGGGCCGCUGCUUUUGCUGGAACUGUCGGUUCUGGAGGUAGUUCUCCUUCAGGUAGAUCUCCCAGGAUAGCAGGGCCGCCUCCUCGUUCUUCUCCAGCUUGUUCUCUGUCAGGGUGGGCGGACAGACCAGGGGACCUGGAAUCCUCAGGAGGUGGGCCCUGAAGCCCUGACCCACCGGGGGGGCCCCGUGGGAGGGGGCCAGUCCUGAGUGGCAGGAAGAGCCCAUCGCACACCUGCCCCCAAGGGGGCCUCUGGGCUCAGCCCCCACCACUUGCUCAAGGCCAGCAGAAGGCCAGCAGCCUGAGUGACCUGCACGCCUGCUGAGCGUCCAGGGUUCUGGGCAGAGCUGCCAUGCCAUCUCCACCCCCUCUGCACCCGGGUGGCCAGGACAUUCAGGAGAGGCACUGGGGCUGGCAUACUGAGCUGCUUGUGCCUCUUGGCCGGAGUCUUCAGGACCACCCUCUUGAUGAAGAGCUGCAGGUGGCUGAGGAGGAUGAAGGGGGGCGGCGCGGCGGGGCGGCCGUGGUACUCCUCGAUCAGGUCAUGGCGCUGGAACUUCCAAAUCUGGUCCGUGUGCUCCUGCACCUGCUGGAAGGUGUAGCUGUCAGGGAGGAGAAAGCAACACCUCGAGGUCAGGGUGUUUACCCAGAACAGACCCCUCUCACCGCCUGCGUGCCCACUGUGAUGCCACAGAGAGCAGAGCCACGCCCACAUGCCCACUGUGAUGCCACAGAGAGCAGAGCCACACCCACAUGCCCACUGUGAUGUCACAGAGAGCAGAGCCACGCCCACGUGCCCACUGUGAUGCCACAGAGAGCAGAGCCACGCCCACGUGCCCACUGUGAUGCCACAGAGAGCAGAGCCACGCCCACGUGCCCACUGUGAUGCCAGAGAGCAGAGCCACGCCCACGUGCCCACUGUGAUGCCACAGAGAGCAGAGCCACGCCCACGUGCCCACUGUGAUGCCAGAGAGCAGAGCCAUGCCCACGUGCCCACUAUGAUGCCACAGAGAGCAGAGCCACGCCCACGUGCCCACUGUGAUGCCAGAGAGCAGAGCCACGCCCACGUGCACACUGUGAUGCCAGAGAGCAGAGCCACGCCCACGUGCCCACUGUGAUGCCACAGAGAGCAGAGCCACGCCCACGUGCCCACUGUGAUGCCAGAGAGCAGAGCCACGCCCACGUGCCCACUGUGAUGCCAGAGAGCAGAGCCACGCCCUUGUGCCCACUGUGAUGCCAGAGAGCAGAGCCACGCCCACAUGCACACUGUGAUGCCACAGAGAGCAGAGCCACGCCCUUGUGCCCACUGUGAUGCCAGAGAGCAGAGCCACGCCCACGUGCCCACUGUGAUGCCACAGAUAGCAGAGCCACGCCCACGUGCCCACUGUGAUGCCAGAGAGCAGAGCCAUGCCCACAUGCCCACUGUGAUGCCACAGAGAGCAGAGCCAUGCCCACGUGCCCACUGUGAUGCCACAGAGAGCAGAGCCAUGCCCACGUGCCCACUGUGAUGCCAGAGAGCAGAGCCAUGCCCACGUGCACACUGUGAUGCCACAGAGAGCAGAGCCACGCCCACGUGCCCACUGUGAUGCCAGAGAGCAGAGCCACGCCCACGUGCACACUGUGAUGCCACAGAGAGCAGAGCCACACCCACGUGCCCACUGUGAUGCCACAGAGAGCAGAGCCAUGCCCACGUGCCCACUGUGAUGCCAGAGAGCAGAGCCAUGCCCACGUGCCCACUGUGAUGCCACAGAGAGCAGAGCCAUGCCCACGUGCCCACUGUGAUGCCACAGAGAGCAGAGCCACGCCACACGGGAGGCCAGCUCCAGGCACAGAACUCAGCCCACAGACCUCACAAUUCCAGGCUUCCUGGGAACCAAAGCAAGAAAAAAGGAGAAGCACACAGACUUUCGAUAUUAUAAGCCUCACUGGCUAAUAACACGAAGUGGGUGUUUAUCAGGAGACAGACACUGUCUGGCACUGAACUCUAGGACCUGAUCUGUGGAUUCUGACGAGCACAAGAGCCAGACCCUCCAGGGGUGCAUGUGGAAGGGGCAGGGCUGCAGGGGCCUCCUUGGUGUGUCUCAGGGUGACAGGCACAGAGCCCUCCGCAGUGGGAGCCGGAAGUGUGGGUGCCAUACUUGCUGCAGGGACAGUGUCCUGCCACCAGCCCCUUGGCCUCGAGAUGACAGUCCUGGCCCAUGCUCGGGUUCUCUCAAUGUUCAGAACCCACGUUCUGAAAGGUGGCAACCUCAGCAACUUAGCCAAUGAAACAAGAAGAGAAACGGUUGGUUCCUAACAAAACCAGGAACACAAGGAUUUUCAGAGUCCUGGGUAGCACAGGGUCUGUCUGCAGAUGCUGGGAAGGGCUCUGAGGGCCUGGGAGGCUUUCUGAAUUAUGGGGGCAACGUGGGGAGACUGGGCUUUCUGUGGACCAUGACAGCUCCGCAGCCGUGCUGGGCUCCUCAGCUCCACUGUCAGGGCUAGGAAUUGGCCACAGAACCCCCAGAGCCAACCCUGGGGCCCACUAGGACCCCAAACACCUGUGUUUUCAUUCUGCGUGGCCUCCUGGUUCCCUGGAGUUCUUUUUUAUGCUGCCUCUGGUGUGAGGUCCUCAGCAUUUAAUUUGUUCUAAGUUUAAAAGCUGCAAGAGCAAAACAGAACCCCCAAAGCCUGGGGCCCACAGCUGCUGCGGCUGAUCAGAGAUACGACCCCAGAGGACCACGUCCACCAGGGGCCGGAUGGACAGCCACCUAUUUUGUACUCCUUGUUUCAAAAGCAACAAUAGCAAAUAACAUUCCAAAAGUUCUAUGAUAAGACUUCAAGACACUAGGAUUUAAAGAAAAUCCUAGACAUUUUCAAAGAGAAGAAACAGCUACUGCAUGGGUCUCCUGAUGCUGCUGUAGUGAACCGCCACGGCCUUGGCAGCUUAAAGCAAUCAGACUCUUCUCUCAGUCCUGGAGGUCAGGAGUCUCACUGGGCUAAAACCAAGGUUCGGCAGGGCUGUGCUCCUCCCGUAGGUCGGGAGCCUCCAUGCCUUGCCUUUCCUGCCUUCCAGAGGCUGCCUGCAUUCCUGGGCUGAGGCUCUCCCCUCCCGCCGACGCUCACUGCCACCGUCACAUUCCUUCUCCGCCUCCCUCUUCCACGGCCCCUCAUGAUGAUGUCGGGCCCAUGCAGAUAACCCCAGAUAAUUUCCCACCUCAGGAUCCUCCACUUAACCCCACCCUCCCAGUCCCUUUUGCCACAUAGGGCCCCAUAGCCACAGGGUUCGAGUGUGGACCUCCCUGGGGCUGUUAUUCAAACUGCCACAGAUGCCACAAACACCAGGCCCAGAGGAGGUGGACACGUGUGUGCAAAUCCACAAAACCAGCAAAGCACGUGAAGACGUGCAGAUGAGGAAGACCCCAAUGGCACGGGAGGGCAGACACAGAGCCGUCCACAGAUGGAUCGGAGCUCUGGGGAAGGCACCGCAGAGCCAGCGCCGUCUGAGGCACACGGUGGGGGCAGCAGGAACACGUCUAGGGCUGGGGAACCGGCCCCAAAGAGCUAAAGAACCCAGCAACUAACCGAAAUGCUCACACUUACAGAUGGCAGACGGGAAAAGAAGCCACCUGCUGGGAUGCUGAGACUCGCUUGCAGGAGCUUUUGGAACUGGCUGAGGUCACAGCUGGAACCACUGUGGCCAGCUGGAGUCUGCACAGCCCGAGUUUCCACCCCAGGGUCCCAGUAACUCCGCCCAAAUGUGCACACGAGACCUAUGAGGAGACAUAACUUUCCAGAACCCCCUUUUCUUCCACCAGCCACUUACUCAUCCAAGAACCCACCCCCGAACCUUCCCUAAUAGAAACACUGCAUUAAAGCCAGCGCGGGGAGACAGACGUGAACUGCGCCCCUGUCUCCUUGUGGGUUGGCCUAGAAUAAAAGCUUUUCUUUUCUCAAAAACCUGGUGUCAUAGUAUUGGCCUCCUGCACAUCGGGCAGCGAGCCCUUUUGCUCAGUAACAGGGAGACACAGGCAGAGCCCUUGGGGUGACAAGGGGACAGCCCUGAGCAGCAGCGGCCCCAGCACGCUCCCCGGGUAGAGCAGUGAGCCCAUGAAUAAUGCUGCGCCUGCGCAGAAGGAACGAGGCUGACACCAACAUCCCUGCCCUGCGGGAGGAGGCUGCCUCCGCAGCAGCACCGUGAGCAGGGCCCUUGUGGAUCCACAGCACCGCGGGUCCCCAGCAGCCACAAGGACAGACCCACGCCAGCUCAAGAGACAGACUCACGCCAGCUCAAGAGACGCAGCAGUGACCACAGAGAGUGGCUGUGCACACUCCACCAGGAUAUGAGUGACGCGCCUCUGUGCACCAGCCCAUCAUCCACACUGUCCACGAGACCCUGGAGACAGCAUGGCCACUGCGGCCCAGGAACGCCGCCCACCCACCCACCUGCACGCCAGCCCCACCCAGGCGCUCACUUGAACAUGGCGAUGAGGAGCUUGGCAGGAGGGGGCCCUCGAGGCCUCCAGUCACUGCCAGGUCCCCCGCAGGCCUGAUGCUGCUCAUUUGGGUGACCUCAGCUGUCACCUCUGGGCCAGAAGUCCAGAAAGAGGCAUCUGUCUCCAGCCAGAUGCAGGUAGGAGGCCCCGGGGGCAGAGCUGCACCCAGGCUGGCCCGUGCCUCCGCCCAGGGUGUGCCACCCACCAGGGCACUGCCAGGGUCCCAGCCAGGGCCAGCACCAGGUCCCAAGCCUGGGGAGUUCAAUUUGGUGGAAAUAAUUUAAAAGGAAAGGCCAGGAGCAGUGGCUCAUGCCUGUAAUCCCAGCACUUUGGGAGGCCAAGGCGGGCGGAUCACCUGAGGUCAGGAGUUUGAGACCAGCCUGGUCAACAUGGUGAAACCUUGUCUCUACUAAAAAUACAAAAAUUAGCCAGGCAUGGUGGCGGGCGCCUAUAAUCCCAGCUACUCGGGAGGCUGAGGCAGGAAAAUCACUUGAAUCCGGGAGGGAGGUGGAGGUUGCAGUGAGCCGAGGUUGCCUCAUUGCACUCCAGCCUGGGCAACAAGAGCAAAUGUCUGUCUCAAAAAUUAAAAAAAAAAAAAAAAAAAAAGAAUUGAAAAGGAAAAAAAUAACAACUAUCCCAAAGAGAAGGGAGACGUGGAGAUGUGGAAAAGGGAAGAUGUUGCAGAGGCAAUGUAUCGACAAGUGAAACGGGUGAUUGUGAAGAAAAAUAGCGUCCUGCGUGCAUAGAAAGUAAGGGCUAUUGAAUAUGGAAACAGCUUCUACCUUAAACAAAUCUCUAAGGAAACAUAGUAAGUUGUUAACAGUAGUUAACUCCGGGAGGUGAAAUUAUGAAUAACAUUCUUUCCUUAUACUUAUCUUGAAUUUUAAAAUUGUUCAACAAUGAGCAAUGCAUUAUUGGGUAAUCAAACCUAUUUUGAAUGUGUUACUAAUUUUCUAAGAUAGAAACGCACUCUGAUGGCUAUAAAUUCCUAUAUUAAUAAAGAAGAGCUGAAAUUAUUAACGUAACUUCCCACUGUAGUAAACUAGAAAAAGAAGAGCAAACCACCCUUUCACAAUAAAAACACUCAAGAAGUUAGGAAUCAAAGAGAACCUCUUUGAUUGAAAGGACAUUUACAAAAACCCUGCAGCUAACAUCAUACCCAGUGGGAAAGACUGGAUGCUUUCCCUGAGACAAGCCAAAAGCAAGCAGAAGGAAGGAAAGAAUGAAGAUUAGAAUAUAAAUGAGAUCGAGAAAUCAAAAACAAUGAAUGUCAACAAACCAAACUCAGUUCUUGAAAAAGAGCAACAAAAAUAAUUACCACCUUGUAGCUAAGACUGAUCAAGGAAAAAAAGAGAGAAGGCUCAAAUUGCUAAAAUCAGAAAUGAAAGAGAGGAUAUUACUACUAAUCUUACAAAAAGAAAAAGAACUCAAAGGAAAUCCUAGAGAAAAUUGUAUGCUAAAAAAAUUAGAUGAUCUAGAUGAAUGGACAAAUUCCUAGAAAGACACAAACUACCAAAGGUGACUGGAGAAGAAAUAGAAAAUAUAAAUAGACCUAUAACACAUAAAGAGAUUGAAUUAGUAAGUUAAAAACAUCACACAAAGAAAAGUCCACACUCAGAGGAGUUCACUGGUGAAUUCUACCAAAUGUUCACGGAAGAAUUAAAACCACUCUUUUACAAACUCUUCCAAAAUAUAAGAGGAGGAACUACUUCCUAAGCCAUUUUAUGAGGCCAGUAUUAUCCUGGUGCCAAAACUAGGCAAACAUAUUACAAGAAAAGAAAACCACAGACCAAUAACCUUCAUGAAUAUAGGUGCAAAAAUCAUCAAAAAACAGCUAGCAAAGUGAAUCCAGCACCAUGUAAAAGAGAUUAUUCACCAAGACCAAGUGGGACGUGUCCCAGGAACAUAAAGUUGGUUUAACAUUCGAAGGUCAAUUGAUGGAAUGCACCAUAUUAAUAGUAAAAGGAUCAAAGACCAUCUGAACAUUUGAAUAAGUGCAGGAGAAGCAGCUGACAAAGUCUACCACUCCUUCACAAUAAAAACACUCAAGAAACUAGGAAUAGAAGGGAACUUCUUCAACCUGAUAAAGGACAUUUAUAAAAGCCCCACAGCUAACAUCACACUUAAUGGUGAAAGGCUUGUUCCCUAAGAUCAGUGGACUCGUCUUAAGAUCAGGAGCAAAGCAAGGAUGUCCCCCAUUGUCCCUUCUGUUCAACAUUGUACUGGAGGUUCUAGCCAGGGCACUUAGGCAAGAAGAAGAAAUAAAAGGCAACCAGUUUGGAAAGGAACAAGUAAAACUCUCUUUUUGCAGAUGACAUGGUCUCGUAUAUGACAAAUCCACUAAAAAACUAUUAAAAGUAAUAAAGAAGUUUAGCAAGGUUUCAGAGUUCAAGAUCAAUCUACAAAAGACAAUGUAUGUCUACAUACCAGUCAUUAACAAUUUGAAAUGAAAUCAAUAGGACAAUUCUAUUUAUAAUAGCUUGGACAAUAAUAAAAUAUUUAGGAAUAAAUUUAACAGAAGAAGCAUUAAGACUUAUUACUGGAAACUAUAAAACAUUAUUGAGAGAAAUUAAAGAAUUAAAUAAGCAAAAAGACAUCCCAUGUUCACAAUCAAAAUCACAGAUGCCCUUUUUGGAGAAAUUGAUGAGCUGAUCCAAAAAUUCUUGUGAAGCCAAGGGACCCAGAGGCCAAAGCAAUCCUGGAAAAGAACAAAUUAGGACUCACACUUCCGAAUUUCAAAACUUACUACAAGGCUACGCUCACCAAGACAGCACGGUCAAAACUUACUACAAGGCUACGCCAACCAAGACAGUGCGGUCAAAACUUACUACAAGGCUACGCUCACCAAGACAGUGUGGUCAAAACUUACUAUAAGGCUACGCUCACCAAGACAGUGAGGUCAAAACUUACUACAAGGCUACGCCAACCAAGACAGUGCAGUCAAAACUUACUACAAGACUACGCUCACCAAGACAGUGCGGUCAAAACUUACUACAAGGCUACGCUCACCAAGACAGUGCGGUCAAAACUUACUACAAGGCUACGCUCACCAAGACAGUGUGGUCAAAACUUACUACAAGGCUACGCUCAACAAGACAGUGUGGUCAAAACUUACUACAAGGCUACGCUCACCAAGACAGUGUGGUCAAAACUUACUAUAAGGCUACGCUCACCAAGACAGUGAGGUCAAAACUUACUACAAGGCUACGCCAACCAAGACAGUGCGGUCAAAACUUACUACAAGGCUACGCCAACCAAGACAGCACAAUCAAAACUUACUACAAGGCUACGCCAAGACAGUGCGGUCAAAACUUACUACAAGUCUACGCCAAGACAGUGCGGUCAAAACUUACUACAAGGCUACGCUCACCAAGACAGUGCGGUCAAAACUUACUACAAGGCUAUGCCAACCAAGAGAGUGCAGUCAAAACUUACUACAAGGCUACACCAAGACAGUGUGGUCAAAACUUACUACAAGGCUACACCAACCAAGACAGUGUGGUCAAAACUUACUACAAGGCUACGCCAAGACAGUGCAGUCAAAACUUACUACAAGGCUACGCCAAGACAGUGCAGUCAAAACUCACUACAAGGCUACGCCAACCAAGACAGUGCGGUCAAAACUUACUACAAGGCUAUGCCAACCAAGACAGCGCGAUCAAAACUUACUACAAGGCUACGCUCACCAAGACAGUGCGGUCAAAACUUACUACAAGGCUACGCUCACCAAGACAGUGUGGUCAAAACUUACUACAAGGCUACGCUCACCAAGACAGCGCGAUCAAAACUUACUACAAGGCUACGCCAACCAAGACAGUGAGGUCAAAACUUACUACAAGGCUACGCCAACCAAGAGAGUGAGGUCAAAACUUACUACAAGGCUACGCCAACCAAGACAGCACGAUCAAAACUUACUACAAGGCUACGCCAAGACAGUGCGGUCAAAACUUACUACAAGUCUACGCCAAGACAGUGUGGUCAAAACUUACUACAAGGCUACGCUCACCAAGACAGUGCGGUCAAAACUUACUACAAGGCUAUGCCAACCAAGAGAGUGCAGUCAAAACUUACUACAAGGCUACACCAAGACAGUGUGGUCAAAACUUACUACAAGUCUACGCCAACCAAGACAGUGUGGUCAAAACUCACUACAAGGCUACACCAAGACAGUGCAGUCAAAACUUACUACAAGGCUACGCCAAGACAGUGCAGUCAAAACUCACUACAAGGCUACGCCAACCAAGACAGUGCGGUCAAAACUUACUACAAGGCUAUGCCAACCAAGACAGCACGAUCAAAACUUACUACAAGGCUACGCCAACCAAGACAGUGCGGUCAAAACUUACUACAAGGCUAUGCUCACCAAGACAGUGUGGUUCUGGCACAAGGACAGACAUCAGUGGAGUCAAACUGAGACUCUAGAAAUAAGCCCUUAUGUUAAUGGUCCACUGAUUUUCAACAAGGAUGCCAAGAUGCUUCACUGGGGAAACAACAGUCUUGUCAACAAAUAGUGCUGGGACAACAGGAGAGCCACAACGAAGACUGACCCUUACCGCACACCAGGGCAAACAAAAAGCGAAAGCUAUAAAACACUUAGUAGAACACAGGCAUAAAUCACGGCAAUGGUUUUCGCUAGGACACCAAAAGCACAAUGAUCAAAGAGAUUGAUAAGUUGAACAUCAUCAAAAUUUCAAAAGCUCGUGCAUCAAAUGACACCAUAAAGAAAAUAACAAGUCAGUGCACAGAUUGACAAAAAAAAUUCAAAUCAUACCUUUGGUAAGAGACUGGCAUCCUUACGUAAAGAACUCUUACGACUCAAUAAUAUAAAAGACAACUCAAUAAUAUAAAAGACAACUCAAUUGAAAAAUGGGCAAAGAUGGCUGGGGGCAGUGGCUUAUGCCUGUAAUGCCAGCACUUUGGGAGGCCAAGGCGGGUGGAUCACGAGGUCAGGAGAUCGAGACCAGCCUGGCCAACAUGGUGAAACUCUGUAUCUACUAAAAAUACAAAAAUUAGCCAGGCGUGGUGGCGUGCGCCUGUAGUCCCAGCUACUCGGGAGGCUGAGGCAGGAGAAUCACUUGAGCCCGGGAGGCAGAGGUUGCAGUGAGCUGAGAUCGCACCACUGCAUUCCAGCCUGGGUGACAGAGCGAGACCCUGUCGGAAAAAAAAAAAAAAAAAAAAAGGGCAAAGGAGAGGGAGAGACAUUUCUUGAAAGAAGACUUACAGACGACGAGGUUAGCAGAGGAGGAGAUGCUCAGCAUGGCGGGUCCUUAGAGAAAUGCCCGUCAAAGCGACAAGGAGAGCCACUUCUCACCCACCGGGAUGCGAGCUUUGUUUUUUUAAUGGACAAUAACAAAUGUUGACAAGAAGGUAGAGAAAUUGGAAUCCUGGGACUGGGCAGGCAGGAAUGUGGAAUGCGGCCGGUUCUUUGGAAAACAGCCCAGCACGUCCACAAAAACUUAAACAUGGAGUUCCCAUAUGAGCCAGCCGUGCAUUCCUAGGUGUCUAAGAGAAAUAAAAACAUACCCACACAAAACCCUGUAAAUAACUGUUCAUGCUACGUUAUUCACAGCAUGUGAAAAGUGGAAACGGCCCUGCGCGGUAGCUCACACCUGUCAUCCCAGCACUUUGGGAGGCCGAGGCGGGUGGAUCACCUGAGGUCAGGAGUUCAAGACCAGCCUGUCCAACAUGGUGAAACCCCAUCUCUACAAAAAAAUACAAAAAUUAGCCAAGCGUGGUAGCAGGUGCCUGUAAUCCCAGCUACUCGGGAGGCUGAGGCAGGAGAAUUGCUUGAACCCAGGAGGUGGAGGUCGCAGUGAGCCAAGAUUGUGCCACUGCACUUUGGCCUGACUCCCUCUCGGGAAAAAGAAAACAGAGCGAGACUCCCUCUAGGGGAAAAAAAAAAUUAAAUAUUAAUUAAUUUAAAAUUUUUUAAUUAAAAAAUUAAAUAUUAAUUUUUUUUAAAAAAAAGGAAAAGUGGAAACAACCCAUAUGUCCACCAACUGAUGAAUGGAUGAACAAAAUGUGGUGUGUCCACACAGCGGGGUCCUCUUCAGCCAUAAACGGGAAGUAAAUACUGAUACACGGUGACAAACCUUGAAAACGGGACAUCAAGUGAAAGAAGUCAGACACCAAAGACUGCCUAUUACAUCAUCCAGUUUCUAUGAAACGCCCAGAAAAGGCAGCUCACAAGUAGCUUCGUGGGUGGCUGUGGCUGAGGGGAGGGGAACGGGAGUGACUGUGAGUAUGCAGGGUCUUUUCAGGGUGAUGCAGAUGUUAUAAAGUUAGAUUCUGUAAAGAUACUGAAAACCACUGACAGGUGCACUUUAUCCAGGUGAAAUUUCUCUCAAUGAAGCUGUUAAAAAAAAAAAAAAAAAAAAAAAAAACCUUCUAUAUGAAAAGUGUUCUCUCUGGCAGGCAUGGUGGCUCACGCCUGUAAUCUCAGCACUUUGGGAGGCCAAGGGGGUGGAUCACUUGAGCUCAAGAGUUCGAUACUAGCCUGGGCCACAUGCUGAAACCCCCAUCUCUACAAAAAAUACAAAAAUUAGCCGGGUGUGUUGGCGUGCACAUGCAGUCCCAGCUACUCAGCAGACGGGUGGGAGGAGGACUUGAGCGCAGGAGGUGGACGUGCCACUGCACUCCAGCCUGGGUGACAGAGCAAAACCCUGUCAAAAAAUGGAAGGAAGGAAGGGAGGAAGGGAGGAAUGAAUUAUUUCCAUCAAGAGAAGAAGGAAGUUAUUUCUGAUUGAGGUGAGAGGGAAAGGGGAUACAGGGUGACAUUCCAUUUCAGGGGGCUGUCAGCUGAUGCCCCAGGUGCCCUCGGCCCACUCUGACCUCUGCGUGGCACCACUCACCCCCACCAGGCCCCCCUCCUCCCUCCCCUGGUGGGGCCCCUUCUACUUCCUGCCACAGGAGCUGGGGAAUGAAUGCCCCCAGGGAGGACACCGGCCAGGUGGGAACCGCAGGACCCCCUGAUGGAGCCGGCCUCACUCCCACUCAUGCGGCCCCUUUCCAGCCUCUCUCCUGCUUCCCGGCAGCACCACCCGAGCUCCCAUGGCGCCCGGCUCCUACCGUCGAUGUAGCCCGGGAUCUGCCCGAAGAUGGUGAGGUAGGAGUGGUAGACGGCCCCUCGGAACAGCCAGUCCACCCGGCGCUCGUUGUGGAUGAGGAUGGCCUGCUUGGCCACCCCGAAGGACACCACCCACACAGCCAGCAGGAAGAGGAAGAAGAAGACGUCCUUCAUCUGCAGGACAGAGAGUGUGUGGGCUACACUCUCCUGGCCCCCGAUGCUCACUGGGCCCAGAGGCAGGCCCAGCAGCGGUGGAGACAGCACUGCCACUCACAGCACAGACACGGCAUGCAGGAGGCUCCCAGGAGCAGUCCUGGGGCUGCCCCCACACCCUCGUGGACUGCCGACAUCUUUGUGCUAGCACCACAAAGUGCAAGAGGGGUCAGACAUAACCGUGACCCAAGGAGGAAAGCUCCUAGAGCUGAAUCAGAGGCCAGGAAUGAGUGCGGUCAGACAUAACCGUGACCAAGGAGGAAAGCUCCUAGAGCUGAAUCAGAGGCCAGGAAUGAGUGGGGAUCAGAGGGGAGAAUGAGGGAAGGCUUCCUGGAAGAGGUGACGUACAGGCAAAGAUACGAGAAGGGCAUUCUUGGGAGCCCAAGGGGCAAAGCAGGGACGGGGAACCUACAGGUGUGUUUAAGCCCCAGUCCGAGCCACUGGCAAGGGGCCUGCCCUCCCCGAGGCCCACCCUGGGCUGCAGGCCGCGAUGGAGCCGGUGCCCCCGCCCCCUUACCAUCCGCUUCACAAUGAUGAUCUUGGGCCCCAGCGUCUUACUGAUGGUAAAAAUGUGCAUGAGCCGGAGGCAGAACAGGAUGAAGUCCAGAGAGAGGAUGACGCGCCCGGGGUACAGCGUCGCCGGGAUGAGCCUGGCCGCCGGGCAGAAGCACACACAUCUCAGCCACCUGCUCACAGCAGCCCCCAGAGCUGUCCCCCGUCGCCCCUCCACCUGUCCUAGCCCAGGUGGGCCCUGGAGGCAAAGGGCUCUGGUGGGCCCUGCAUCCCAGGUGUUCAAAGCUGGCAUGAGAUUGAGGAAUAGAGCCUCCCACUUUUCUUCAGACGCCCAGCCCCACAGGGCAGCCUGGCAUGGGGGCACCUGGAGAGCCAGCAGUUAGCCAGGGCCCUAUUGCCUCCGAGAAAGGGGGCCGCGGCCUCGCAGAGACACGAGAGCAUCACAGGCAGUGCAGUGAGCCCACAGUAGGGAGGCAGAGGGAGAAAGCGGCAGCCGCGUGUCCGUGGAGCUGGGACAAUUCCAGAGGUUGCCAUCUAUGGCCCCUUGCACAUGGACAAUCUCAGCUCUGCCAGGAGCUCUCAUGCCCCUUCUGUGCUCCCUCAACAAUCCCAAGGGUAGGUGGGGCGCUGUUGCCUGGACACCCAUUGGACAGAUGACAAUCCAGGGUUCACAGACGAGCUGAGCCUCACCCGGUGUGGCUGGUUCUGGGCCCGGCCUGUGCUCAUCCCCUGCAGGGCUGGCUGCCUCAGACGGGCCCGCCAUCGGGGUGAGGCCACUCACCUGCAGGUCAGCCCUGCCACGAAGAGCAAGAUUGCGCCGACGUCCAGCUUAUUCCAGAAGUCACUGAAGUACAAGGCUGCCUUCUUCAUCAGCCCGCACUCGUCAGGGUCAUAGAAGAGCUACUGGGAAGAGGGGCGGUAGGAAGGCAGACAGGUUGUCACUCUUACUAUCCUCACUGUCACUGUCACAUCACUAUCCACUAUCAUCAUCACAGUCACUGUCACUAUCAUCACUAUCACUGUCACUAUCAUCACUACCCUUGCUGUCACCAUCACUGUCAUAUCACUAUCCACUAUCAUCACAGUCACUGUCACUAUCAUCACUAUCACUGUCACUAUCAUCACUAUCCUUGCUGUCACCAUCACUGUCAUAUCACUAUCCACUAUCAUCACAGUCACUGUCACUAUCAUCACUAUCACUGUCACUAUCAUCACUACCCUUGCUGUCACCAUCACUGUCAUAUCACUAUCCACUAUCAUCACAGUCACUGUCACUAUCAUCACUAUCACUGUCACUAUCAUCACUAUCCUUGCUGUCACCAUCGCUGUCAUAUCACUAUCCACUAUCAUCAUCACAAUCACAGUCACUGUCACUAUCAUCACUAUCACCGUCACUAUCAUCACUGUCACUAUCAUCACUAUCACUAUCAUCACUAUCAUCACGGUCAGCAAAUCCGAACAUUGGUUCUGAUCUGAAGAGAGCUGGGUCAGUGAGGGAGAUGGGAACAGGACGUGGAGGAACAAUGCAGAAUAGCGCUGGCAGCAGCUACCUCGGCCCCCUGCUCACUCAGCACCUGUGUGUGCAUAUAUGUGUAUGUACAUAUAUUCUGCAUGUAUGUGUGUAUACGUGUGAAUAUGUAUGUGUGCACAUAUGUGUGUGUAUGUAUGUGUGCAUUCUGUAUGUGUCUGCAUGUAUUUGUAUGUGUAUGCAUGUGUGUAUAUGUGUAUGUGCAUGUAUGUGUGCAUGUAUAUGUGUAUGCACAUACAUUUGCAUGUAUUGUGUAUGUAUGCAUGUUUGUGUGUGUGCAUGUGUAUGUGUAUCUGUGUGUCUCUGUGUAUAUGUGUAUUUGCAUGUUUUUGUGUGUGCAUGUGUAUAUAUGUGUAUGUGUCUGUAUGUGUGUGUUCAUAUGUGUAUGUUCAUUCAUGUGUGCAUAUGUAUAUAUGUGUGUGUAUGUGUGUACAUGUUUGUUCAUGUGCAUAUGUAUGUAUAUGUGUAUAUGUGCUUGGGUGAUGUGUAUAUUUGUGUAUGUGCAUGUGUGUAUGUGUAUGUGUGUAUGCAUGUGUAUGUGCAUGUGUGUAUGUAUGUGUGCAUAUGUGUAUGUGUAUAUUGUGUACAUGUGUAUGUGUGUAUGCAUGUGUGUGCUGUAUAUGUAUGUGCAUGUGUAUGUAUGUGUAUAUUUGUGUGUAUGCACACGUGUAAUGUGUGUAUGCAUGUGUGUGCAUGUGUAUACAUGUGUUUAUCUGUGUAUAUUUGUAUGUGUGCAUGCAUGUAUAUGUGUAUGCAUGUGUGUGCAUCUCUAUAUGCAUGUAUGUGUGUCCAUGCAUAUGUGUGUAUGCAUGUGUAUAUGUGUGCAUGUAUGUGUAUGCAUGUGUGUAUGCAUGUGUGUGCAUGUGUGCAUGUGUGUAUACAUAUGCAUGAAUGUGUGUGCCUAUGUGUGUACUGUGUGCAUGUGUGUGCAUGUAUGUGUGUACAUAUGCAUGUAUGUAUGUGUGUGUGCCUAUGUGUGUGUGCAUUUGUGUGCAUGUGUACAUGUGUGUGCAUGUACCUGUAUGUGUAUGCAUGUGUGUGCAUGUGUGUGUGUGUUGGAGCAGCGCCCUCAAUGUCAGGCGCCAGCUGCCUUCCCACAAGGAUCUUUGUUCUGUCAGGGGCCACACUGUUUCUUUAGCAGGCCAAGAGUGCAGGACCUGGCAGGGGCUGUGGGAGCCCCCAUUUGGCCUACUUGGCAGGAGUCCCCACACCCUCCCUAGCCCCAGGCCCCAGGACCCAGCAGCUGGACAGGUGGGGCAGGUGACCAGCAGGACCAACCAGGGCCCUCCCUGGAUCACAGACAGAUGCAGGGAGAAGGAAGUGCCCCCUCUGCUCUCAGGCUGCUGCCCAUGGGGCUGGGGCUGGGGGUGCAUGGAGGCCUCUGGCCCCUUGUAGAGAGGGUCUGGUGGCAGAAGCCCUGUGGCAAGAGGAGAGCCAAGGAGAGCCCAGCAGAGCCAGGGCCACAGCACAGCUCCCAGGCCCCGCCAAGUCCUGGACCUGAUCUUCCUUCCUGGGGACGCCGGUGCCUCCCCCAGGGCCCCAGUAGGCAGUGGUAUUUACACAGUGCACACUGCUUUCUAACUGGGGUAACUGGGGGCCUGGUGGUCCACCAAGGUUAGAGAGCAGAGGUAAGUCUAAGCCAGGACCACUGCCCCGUGGGCUGACCCCACCCCCUCACCACUGCCCUGAGGGUUCCAAGGACCUAGUUCCCAUUCACCGGCUGCCAGCAGGUGCAGGCACCGUGGGGGCACAGUGGAGACCCCACACAGUAAGGGAUUCGCCCCACCUGGGGGGCAGCUUGGCCUCGCCCAGCUCCAGGGAGAUAGCCUCUGAGCCCUUGGAAUGUCCGCCUGAUGAGGGUGUCUUUGUUCCUGGGGCCUGGGCCAUGCCAGGUGGUCCCACAGUGUGAUUUGGGGUGGGGCCCCGGGCAGUUUUCAGUUUGACCUUUGGAGGGCUGGAGACUGAGGUCAACCAUGUGGUGUCAGCCUCGCCUCUGUGACUGACCUCCAGUAGACACCAAGGCCCGCGAGCCUCUCUGGGGACGUGCCUCCAUGCAUGAGGCCACACAUCAUCACCGGGAGGAUGGAGUGCCACCCACACCUCCACAGGGAGGGACUGGCCGGAUGCCCUGGGCUCAGAGCUGUCCUGGAUGCAGCUGCGUCCCUCCCCCUGGCUGGUUUAGUCUGUAGACUGUUGCUUAAUAAACCAUAAGUGAGCAUUGCCACUCCCCAGCGUCUGUGGGUCCUUCUGGCUCGUUAUUGAACGUGAGAGGGGUCUUAGGGACCCCACACCUUGCACUGCUCUUCCUGGGGGAAGGGACAUACUCAUAGUCCACAAGGUCAGGGCAUCCACCUUGAGCUGAUCAGCCGGUCUCCAGGAGGGAAGGAUGCCUGGGCCGAGGGAAAGCAGGGAAGCAGGCGCAGGGGGCAUGAGGAGGGAGGGGCUUGGAGGGCAGCGCCCCAGCCACCCAUUUUGGGGAGGAAACACCGGCUCUGCUCAGCUUGCAGGGAGCUGGGCAGGCUAGAUGGGGUGGGCUCUAAGCCAUGGGUCCCCUAUGAGAAUGCAGCCAAGUGGGUGGCCCCGGGCUGGGGCGUGGAAAAGCG